Molecule: ribosomal RNA, 769 nt
Filed under: unidentified microorganism
Description: bacterial SSU rRNA
Rfam family: Bacterial small subunit ribosomal RNA
Source: RNAcentral
AUACAUGCAAGUCGAGCGAACAGAAGGGAGCUUGCUCCCGGAUGUUAGCGGCGGACGGGUGAGUAACACGUGGGUAACCUGCCUGUAAGACUGGGAUAACUCCGGGAAACCGGAGCUAAUACCGGAUAGUUCCUUGAACCGCAUGGUUCAAGGAUGAAAGACGGUUUCGGCUGUCACUUACAGAUGGACCCGCGGCGCAUUAGCUAGUUGGUGGGGUAAUGGCUCACCAAGGCGACGAUGCGUAGCCGACCUGAGAGGGUGAUCGGCCACACUGGGACUGAGACACGGCCCAGACUCCUACGGGAGGCAGCAGUAGGGAAUCUUCCGCAAUGGACGAAAGUCUGACGGAGCAACGCCGCGUGAGUGAUGAAGGUUUUCGGAUCGUAAAGCUCUGUUGUUAGGGAAGAACAAGUGCGAGAGUAACUGCUCGCACCUUGACGGUACCUAACCAGAAAGCCACGGCUAACUACGUGCCAGCAGCCGCGGUAAUACGUAGGUGGCAAGCGUUGUCCGGAAUUAUUGGGCGUAAAGGGCUCGCAGGCGGUUUCUUAAGUCUGAUGUGAAAGCCCCCGGCUCAACCGGGGAGGGUCAUUGGAAACUGGGAAACUUGAGUGCAGAAGAGGAGAGUGGAAUUCCACGUGUAGCGGUGAAAUGCGUAGAGAUGUGGAGGAACACCAGUGGCGAAGGCGACUCUCUGGUCUGUAACUGACGCUGAGGAGCGAAAGCGUGGGGAGCGAACAGGAUUAGAUACCCUGGUAGUCCACGCCGU